GUGAAUCAUCGAAUCUUUGAACGCACCUUGCACUCCUUGGUAUUCCGAGGAGUAUGCCUGUUUGAGUGUCAUGAAAUUAUCAACUUCAGUAGUUUUAUUACUAUUGAGGCUUGGAUUUGGAAGUUGUUGGCUCUUUAGUAGUCGGCUCUUCUUAAAUGUAUUAGCUGCUUGUCCGUGAGUUGGCUCAGAGUGUGAUAAGUUAUCUACACUUGGUGGCUGCUUACUUGGAUGUGGCUUCUAAUCAGUCCUUUGUGACGAUUAUUUGUUAAGAUCUGACCUCAAAUCAGGUAGGACUACCCGCUGAACUUAAGCAUAUCAAUAAGCGGAGG
This 329-nucleotide ribosomal RNA is filed under the name uncultured Xenasmatella. RNAcentral's name for it is "eukaryotic LSU rRNA". The stretch from base 1 to 71 matches the Rfam family "5.8S ribosomal RNA", at positions 84 to 154 of the family's 154-position model. The record is from RNAcentral. Lineage: Eukaryota; Fungi; Basidiomycota; Agaricomycetes; Russulales; Xenasmataceae.